This 963-nucleotide ribosomal RNA is filed under the name Bacillus tequilensis. Its description in RNAcentral is "bacterial SSU rRNA". It matches the Rfam family "Bacterial small subunit ribosomal RNA", at positions 179 to 1125 of the family's 1533-position model. Lineage: Bacteria; Bacillati; Bacillota; Bacilli; Caryophanales; Bacillaceae. The record is from RNAcentral.
GUUUGAACCGCAUGGUUCAAACAUAAAAGGUGGCUUCGGCUACCACUUACAGAUGGACCCGCGGCGCAUUAGCUAGUUGGUGAGGUAACGGCUCACCAAGGCAACGAUGCGUAGCCGACCUGAGAGGGUGAUCGGCCACACUGGGACUGAGACACGGCCCAGACUCCUACGGGAGGCAGCAGUAGGGAAUCUUCCGCAAUGGACGAAAGUCUGACGGAGCAACGCCGCGUGAGUGAUGAAGGUUUUCGGAUCGUAAAGCUCUGUUGUUAGGGAAGAACAAGUACCGUUCGAAUAGGGCGGUACCUUGACGGUACCUAACCAGAAAGCCACGGCUAACUACGUGCCAGCAGCCGCGGUAAUACGUAGGUGGCAAGCGUUGUCCGGAAUUAUUGGGCGUAAAGGGCUCGCAGGCGGUUUCUUAAGUCUGAUGUGAAAGCCCCCGGCUCUACCUGGGGAGGGUCAUUGGAAACUGGGGAACUUGAGUGCAGAUGAGGAGAGUGGAAUUCCUCGUGUAGCGGUGAAAUGCGUAGAGAUGUGGAGGAACACCAGUGGCGAAGGCGACUCUCUGGUCUGUAACUGACGCUGAGGAGCGAAAGUGUGGGGAGCGAACAGGAUUAGAUACCCUGGUAGUCCACGCUGUAAACGAUGAGUGCUAAGUGUUAGGGGGUUUCCGCCCCUUAGUGCUGCAGCUAACGCAUUAAGCACUCUGCCUGGGGAGUACGGUCGCAAGAUUGAAACUCAAAGGAAUUGACGGGGGCCCGCACAAGCGUUGGAGCAUGUGGUUUAAUUCGAAGCAACGCGAAGAACCUUACCAGGUCUUGACAUCCUCUAACAAUCCUAGAUAUAGGACCUCCCCUUAGGGGGCAGAGUGACAGGUGUUGCAUGGUUGUCGUCAGCUGGAGUUUUGAGAUGUUGGCUUAAGUCCCGCAUCGAGCGCAACCCUCGAUCUCAGUUGCCCGCAUU